RNAcentral lists this ribosomal RNA (253 nucleotides) under uncultured bacterium. Its description in RNAcentral is "partial 16S ribosomal RNA". It matches the Rfam family "Bacterial small subunit ribosomal RNA", at positions 524 to 776 of the family's 1533-position model. The record is from RNAcentral.
UACGGGGGGGGCAAGCGUUGUUCGGAUUCACUGGGCGUAAAGGGUGCGCAGGUGGGUUUGCAAGUUCGAUGUGAAAGCCCCGGGCUUAACCCGGGAAUGGCAUUGGAUACUGCAGAUCUGGAGGUUCGGAGGGGGGACUGGAAUUCUUGGUGUAGCAGUGAAAUGCGUAGAUAUCAAGAGGAACACCAGUGGCGAAGGCGAGUCCCUGGACGACACCUGACACUGAGGCACGAAAGCUAGGGGAGCAAACAGG